GGCGGACGGGUGAGUAAUACUUAGGAAUCUGCCCAUUAGUGGGGGACAACUAGAAGAAAUUCUAGCUAAUACCGCAUACGCCCUACGGGGGAAAGCGGGGGAUCUUCGGACCUCGCGCUAAUGGAUGAGCCUAAGUCGGAUUAGCUUGUUGGUGAGGUAAAGGCUCACCAAGGCGACGAUCCGUAGCUGGUCUGAGAGGACGACCAGCCACACUGGGACUGAGACACGGCCCAG
This 234-nucleotide ribosomal RNA is filed under the name uncultured bacterium. RNAcentral describes it as "partial 16S ribosomal RNA". It matches the Rfam family "Bacterial small subunit ribosomal RNA", at positions 97 to 334 of the family's 1533-position model. The record is from RNAcentral.